UACCAGCACCCCGAGUGGUCGGGACGUUUAUUGGGCCUAAAGCAUCCGUAGCCGGUUCUGCAAGUCUUCCGUUAAAUCCACCUGCUUAACAGAUGGGCCGCGGAAGAUACUAUAGAGCUAGGAGGCGGGAAAGGCAAGCGGUACUCGAUGGGUAGGGGUAAAAUCCGUUGAUCCAUUGAAGACCACCAGUGGCGAAGGCGGCUUGCCAGAACGCGCUCGACGGUGAGGGAUGAAAGCUGGGGGAGCAAACCGG
Molecule: ribosomal RNA, 253 nt
Filed under: uncultured bacterium
Lineage: Bacteria
Description: partial 16S ribosomal RNA
Rfam family: Archaeal small subunit ribosomal RNA
Source: RNAcentral